GGCUAGAGUGGUACAAGAAAGUAACCCUGAAAGAAGGAGGCUACUAUGAUAGUUACAAACGCAGUGAGUAUCGAGGCAGGGAUGCUGUCAAAAGCAGACAAGAAAUUGUCAAGCACCAAAGAGUCCUCACUAAGUACUGGAAAACAAUGGUUGCAGAAGCAGAGAAAAUGCCACAAAGAGAGGAGGCAGUUUUUCGUACUCGUUGGCUGUAUGCAGGGACAAACUAUAGAAGGAUGGUCGAACCACUCGACAUAGCUGCAUACUAUAUGAAACCAGGGAACACAGACUAUGUAAAUCUUGGUAGAUCCGAGCACUAUAAAAAGUUGGAGGAAUGGAGGAGAGAAG
Molecule: unclassified non-coding RNA, 345 nt
Filed under: Hevea brasiliensis (rubber tree)
Lineage: Eukaryota; Viridiplantae; Streptophyta; Magnoliopsida; Malpighiales; Euphorbiaceae
Source: RNAcentral